AGAGAAUAGAUACCCAGGUAGUCCUGGCCCUAAACGAUGUCUACUAGAUCGUGGCGGCACUGACGCCGUCAUGGUCGAAGCAAAAGUGUUAAGUAGACCGCCUGGGAAGUACGGUCGCAAGGCUAAAACUCAAAGAAAUUGACGGGGCGUCACACAAGCGGUGGAGCAUGUGGUUCAAUUCGAAGCAACGCGAAGAACCUUACCUGGGCGUUGACAUGCUAGGAUUAUCUCCAUGAAAGUAGGAGUACGCGGCGCAAGCCGUGGAACUAGUACAGGUGCUGCAUGGCUGUCGUCAGCUCGUGUCGUGAGAUGUCGGGUUAAGUCCCUUAACGAGCGAAACCUUUAGCCUUAGUUGCCAUCGGGUUAUGCCGGGCACUCUAAGGGGACGU
RNAcentral lists this ribosomal RNA (389 nucleotides) under uncultured bacterium. RNAcentral's name for it is "bacterial SSU rRNA". It matches the Rfam family "Bacterial small subunit ribosomal RNA", at positions 773 to 1151 of the family's 1533-position model. The record is from RNAcentral.